Molecule: RNase P RNA, 401 nt
Filed under: Verrucomicrobiales bacterium
Lineage: Bacteria; Pseudomonadati; Verrucomicrobiota; Verrucomicrobiia; Verrucomicrobiales
Description: RNase P RNA component class A
Rfam family: Bacterial RNase P class A
About the family: Ribonuclease P (RNase P) is a ubiquitous endoribonuclease, found in archaea, bacteria and eukarya as well as chloroplasts and mitochondria.
Source: RNAcentral
GAACAAAUCGGAGAUGAUCGCUGGCCGGUUCUUUCGGGAGCCGGUUAGAGGAAAGUCCGAACACCAAAAGGCAGCGUGCCCGGUGAAAACCGGGGAGUCGAAGGCGAGAGCCUUCUUCGACGGAUAGUGUCGCAGAAAAUAUACCGCCUCGCUUGCGAGGUAAGGGUGAAAUGGUGAGGUAAGAGCUCACCGCCCCGAGGGUGACCGAGGGGGCAGGACAAACCCCGCGCGGUGCAAGACAGAACAGGACAAACGGGUCGCCUGCCCGGUUCCUUCGGGAGUGUGUCCGGGUAUUAGUCGCACCCUUCGGGGAACGCGCCGGUUUCGACCGGCGGGUUAGAAAAAUGAUCGUCCUUUCCAUCCGGAGAGAACAGAAUUCGGCUUACGGGAUUUGUUCACCU